CCGGCCACUUUUUUAGGUACACCUUGCUAGUACCGGGUUGGUCUUCUGCUGCUGUAGCCCAUCUGCUUCCAGGUUCGACAUGUUGUGCGUUCAGAGAUGCUCUUCUGCAAACCACGGUUGUAAGGAGUGGUUAUUUGAGUUACUGUUGCCUUUCUAUUAGCUCGAACCAGUCUGGCCAUUCUCCUCUGACCUCUGCCAUCAACAAGGCAUUGUCGCCCAGAGAACUGCCGCUCACUGGAUAUUUUCUCUUUUUCCAUUCACUGUAAGUGCUAGAGAUGGUUGUGCAUGAAAAUCCCAGUAGAUCAGCAGUUUCUGAAAUACUCAAUCCAGCCCGUCUAGCACCAACAACCAUGCCACAUUCAAAGUCACUUAAAUCACCCUUCUUCCCCAUUCUGAUGCUUGGUUUGAACUUAAACAGAUCAUCUUGACCAUGUCUACAUGCCUAAAUGCAUUGAGUUGCUGCCACAUGACUGGCUGAUUAGAUAUUUGCGUUAACGAGCAGUUGAACAGGUGUACCUAAUAAAGUGGCCGGUGAGUGUAGUAUAUAUAAUAUCGUAAUAAUAAUGAAAAAAACAAGUGAAACAUGUAAAGAAAAAUAAAUAACUAUUUUAAUGAACCCAGGGGUGUCAAUAAUUGUGACACUUAUUUUCUGGAAAUAACAUAAAAUUUUGGUUGAUUCCAUUGAAUCGUUAAUAAAAAAUAUUUAGCAAGUUGGACAAUCAAUAUAUAGUGACAUUUAUGCAAUACAAUUGUUCAUCUUUAUCAGGGGUGCAAAAACAUUUGAGGUGGCUGUUUAGAACAUGUUUAGGGCCCAUUUCAGUUCUGGAUUGCUUACUGUCAACACCGCGGCGUGUUGUAUAUGUGUGUCUCUGUGUGUUCAGUGUGUUCUCAUUUUGUGUGUUUACAGCUUGGCUGGUUUGGGAUAGAACCCACAUGUGGUCUAAACUGGUCAGAUGUGUUCCAGUCUCCUGAGAUGGGGGGCGCUGUUUAUAAAGAGAGUCUCUCAGGGGAGCCAGACACCGAAGGAGGAACCCUCAGCACUGAGAGGAAGAGUGUGCAGGUAGAAAGAGCAGGGUCACCUGUACCCAGCUGUCUCUCUAUGAAGAGUGAUCGUUCAAUGGGUCUUCCAAUCGCAUUCAGAGGAGAGGUCACAGGUGACCAAAGCGUCCAGGUUGAAAGAGCAGGGUCACCUGUACCCAGCUGUCUGUCUAUGAAGAGUCAUCGUUCAAUGGGUCUUCCAAUCGCAUUCAGUGGAGAGGUCACAGGUGACCAAAGGUUACUGCAGUCUCUCCAGUCCUGCUCUUUAGAAGAUACAAGUUCAGAGAAAUCAUCUUCCCCAAGACAGGUGAGUUCUGUUUUUUUUUUCAAUUGUUUUUAAUGAAUUUGUGUUUUAUUUGUAUUGUAAGUUUCAUUUGAAUAUAUAAUGCAUGUAUCAUGUACAAUAUAUAGAAUACAUACUUGAGGCCAAAGAAUUACUUACAGCUAAGCUAAGGACAUUCAAACUCUAUUUUUUACAACAGCACACAUUUCAUGUUACCAUACAUUCUCUGUGUUAAGUCAAUUAGGGUAUCUGCUUCAUUUCCAUAAGAGGUAUUUUCAAAAAAAUAGCUAAGAGACAGAUUUAUUUCAGCUUUUAUGUACUAUAUCAGAUUUUCAGCUAUGCACGUAAAUAGAAUGUCAAAAGCAGAAAGUGUAGUUUUUCUAAAAAUAAUAAAUAAAAAACUACUUUUUACAUUAUGAACAAAAAAAAGAUUGCAAUUAGACAUUCCAGUGCCAAGUAAAUGACCUAAAAGCAAACUACUGCUACCCUCUCUGAGAUCUACCCAUUGUGACUUUUGCCCCUGAUUGGAAGCCUCAUAUACGUUACAGUAAUCAUACAGCGUUGAGUUCUUCAAGCUUGUUUACAUACUGUAGCUUUCGAACGUAGCUUACGCCGUCCUUCUAGCUGAAACUACAGCUUAGCUAUUCUACUGCGUACUGACUUACUUUCACUUUGCAUUUUCACGUAGCGCAUGAGUGGAAGCUUAGCGCACACUUUAGUAGAGCUUUGACUAUUGGCAAAUGCUUUGCAUAAAAGAUACUGAAGUACUAUAAAGGGCACUACAUUAUUAUAAAUAGUUAAUGGUUCGAUUUUAUAGUUUUGUCAUUUUCCUCCUUGUGAUGCCAAAAAUGCCAGAUGCGGAACUGUGUAAAGUGUGGGUAUAUUUUAUUUGUAGUUGUGUAAAUACAGAAAUAUGAAUGACUUUCCCGGCAAGAUUAUACAGGUGCAAAAACAAUAGUUUAAUGUUUUACUUUUAGUUAUCCAGCAAGGCAGUGUAAUGACCGAGAGGUUUUCAUGAGUCAGAGGGGGGCUCGAAGCUGCCUGCACACUUCCAAAAGUGCUGCAGACAGCCACGCUACCCAGUGAGCCACUAGCGAAGGAGAUAUAUAAGCAGAAUUUUGUGGUUUUAAACAAGUGCACUUCUAUACAUGUCAUUUUGCGUGUGCAUCCGAUGAAUCGUUAGCAAGGUAGCUAUAAGGAAAUUUUAUACCUACUGGUGAGGCAGGGUUAUGAGAGGACAAUUUGUUCUGGUUGUUAGAGUUACACA
This is a long non-coding RNA of Anguilla rostrata (American eel), 2588 nucleotides long. RefSeq lists it as uncharacterized. The transcript is spliced from 4 exons. NCBI's taxonomy places the organism in Eukaryota, Metazoa, Chordata, Actinopteri, Anguilliformes, Anguillidae. The record is from RefSeq and is a predicted model, not a curated record.